CGUGGGUGUGGCGAAAGGGAUCCAGAGGCUGGGCUGGCUUCGCGGCCCCACAGCUUGGAUUUAACUCCUUUUCGCCCCCAGCCCUUGUCGCCGGUACUGUGGCGAAGGGCGGGGGUGUGGCGAAAGGGGUCCAUAGGCAAGGCCCCCCAGCUUGGAAGCAACUCAUUUUCGCCCCAGCCCUUGUCGCCGUACCUUGCGGGUACUGUGGUGAAGGAUGUGGGUGUGCCGAAAGGGGUCCAGAGGAUAGGGCGGUUUCGAUGCCCCCCAGCUUGGAAGCAACUCAUUUUCGCCCCGGCCCUUGUCGCCGUACCUUGUGGGUACUGUGGUGAAGGAUGUGGGUGUGCCGAAAGGGAUCAAGAGGCUAGGCUGGCUUCGCGACCCCCUAGCUUGGACUUAACUCCUUUUCGCCCUCAGCCCUUGUCGUCGUACCUUGCCGGUACUGUGGCGAAAGGUCGAAAGGGGUCUAGAGGCUGGGCUGGCAUCGCGGCACUCCAGCUUGGACUUAACUCCUUUUCGCCCCAGCCCUUGUCGCCGUAUCUUGCGGGUACUGUGGCGAAGGGCGUGGUUGUGGCGAAAGUGCCCUUGUCGUCGUACCUUGCCGGUACUGUGGCGAACGGCGUGGGUGUAGCGAAAGGGGUUCAGAGGCUGGGCUGGCUUCGCGGCCCCCAGCUUAGACUUAACUCCUUUUCGCCCCUUUGCCUUGUCGUCGUACCUUGCGAUACUGUGGUGAAGGGAGUGGGUGUGGCGAAAGGGUUCCAGAGGCUGGGCUGGCUCCGUGGCCCCCCAGCAUGGAAGCAACUCAUUUUCGCCCCUAGCCCUUGUCGACGUACCAUGCGGGUACUGUGGCGAAGGGCGUGGGUGUGGCGAAAGGGGUCCAGAGGCUGGGCUGGCUUCGGGGGCCCCAGCUUGGACUUAACUCCUUUUCGCCCCCUGCUCUUGUCGUCGUACCUUGCGGGGCAUGGGUGUGGCGAAAGGGGUCCAAAGGCUUGGGCGUCUUCGAGGCCCCCCAACUUGGAAGCAACUCAUUUUCGCCCCCAGCCCUUGUCAUCGUACCAUGCAGGUACUGUGGCGAAGGGUGUGGAUGUGGCGAAAGGGGUCCAGAGGCUGGGCUGGCUUCGUAGCCCCCAGCUUGGACUUAACUCAUUUUCGCCCCCAGCCCUUGUCGCCGUUCCUUGCAGGUACUGUGGCGAAGGGUGUGGGUGUGGCGAAAGUGGUCGAGAGGCUGGGCUGGUGUCGCGACCGGGAAAAUUGCCUUUUCCCGAACGCUAGUGUAUUUAUC
Molecule: long non-coding RNA, 1279 nt
Filed under: Oryza sativa Indica Group (long-grained rice)
Lineage: Eukaryota; Viridiplantae; Streptophyta; Magnoliopsida; Poales; Poaceae
Description: lncRNA OsZS97_01G016150
Source: RNAcentral